GACGAACGCUGGCGGCGUGCUUAACACAUGCAAGUCGAACGGCAAGGCCCUGCUUUUGUGGGGUGCUCGAGUGGCGAACGGGUGAGUAACACGUGAGUAACCUGCCCUUGACUUUGGGAUAACUUCAGGAAACUGGGGCUAAUACCGGAUAGGAGCUCCUGCUGCAUGGUGGGGGUUGGAAAGUUUCGGCGGGUGGGGAUGGACUCGCGGCUUAUCAGCUUGUUGGUUGGGUAGUGGCUUACCAAGGCUUUGACGGGUAGCCGGCCUGAGAGGGUGACCGGCCACAUUGGGACUGAGAGACGGCCCAGACUCCUACGGGAGGCAGCAGUGGGGAAUAUUGCACAAUGGGCGGAAGCCUGAUGCAGCAACGCCGCGUGCGGGAUGACGGCCUUCGGGUUGUAAACCGCUUUCGCCUGUGACGAAGCGUGAGUGACGGUAAUGGGUAAAGAAGCACCGGCUAACUACGUG
Molecule: ribosomal RNA, 468 nt
Filed under: uncultured bacterium
Lineage: Bacteria
Description: partial 16S ribosomal RNA
Rfam family: Bacterial small subunit ribosomal RNA
Source: RNAcentral